GGGGAAUAUUGGACAAUGGGGGCAACCCUGAUCCAGCCAUGCCGCGUGUGUGAAGAAGGCCUUUUGGUUGUAAAGCACUUUAAGCGAGGAGGAGGCUACUUAGAUUAAUACUCUAGGAUAGUGGACGUUACUCGCAGAAUAAGCACCGGCUAACUCUGUGCCAGCAGCCGCGGUAAUACAGAGGGUGCGAGCGUUAAUCGGAUUUACUGGACGUAAAGCGUGCGUAGGCGGCUGUUUAAGUCGGAUUUGAAAUCCCUGAGCUUAACUUAGGAAUUGCAUUCGAUACUGGUCAGCUAGAGUAUGGGAGAGGAUGGUAGAAUUCCAGGUGUAGCGGUGAAAUGCGUAGAGAUCUGGAGGAAUACCGAUGGCGAAGGCAGCCAUCUGGCCUAAUACUGACGCUGAGGCACGAAAGCAUGGGGAGCAAAC
This 426-nucleotide ribosomal RNA is filed under the name uncultured bacterium. RNAcentral's name for it is "bacterial SSU rRNA". It matches the Rfam family "Bacterial small subunit ribosomal RNA", at positions 356 to 773 of the family's 1533-position model. The record is from RNAcentral.